GUGACGAGUGGCGGACGGGUGAGUAAUGUCUGGGAAACUGCCCGAUGGAGGGGGAUAACUACUGGAAACGGUAGCUAAUACCGCAUAACGUCGCAAGACCAAAGAGGGGGACCUUCGGGCCUCUUGCCAUCGGAUGUGCCCAGAUGGGAUUAGCUAGUAGGUGGGGUAACGGCUCACCUAGGCGACGAUCCCUAGCUGGUCUGAGAGGAUGACCAGCCACACUGGAACUGAGACACGGUCCAGACUCCUACGGGAGGCAGCAGUGGGGAAUAUUGCACAAUGGGCGCAAGCCUGAUGCAGCCAUGUCGCGUGUAUGAAGAAGGCCUUCGGGUUGUAAAGUACUUUCAGCGAGGAGGAAGGCGUUGUGGUUAAUAACCGCAGCGAUUGACGUUACUCGCAGAAGAAGCACCGGCUAACUCCGUGCCAGCAGCCGCGGUAAUACGGAGGGUGCAAGCGUUAAUCGGAAUUACUGGGCGUAAAGCGCACGCAGGCGGUCUGUCAAGUCGGAUGUGAAAUCCCCGGGCUCAACCUGGGAACUGCAUCCGAAACUGGCAGGCUAGAGUCUUGUAGAGGGGGGUAGAAUUCCAGGUGUAGCGGUGAAAUGCGUAGAGAUCUGGAGGAAUACCGGUGGCGAAGGCGGCCCCCUGGACAAAGACUGACGCUCAGGUGCGAAAGCGUGGGGAGCAAACAGGAUUAGAUA
This 700-nucleotide ribosomal RNA is filed under the name uncultured bacterium. Its description in RNAcentral is "bacterial SSU rRNA". It matches the Rfam family "Bacterial small subunit ribosomal RNA", at positions 88 to 784 of the family's 1533-position model. The record is from RNAcentral.